GUGCUCUCUUUGGCAGCACAUAUACUAAAAUUGGAGCAAUACAGAGAUUAGCAUAGUCUCUGCACAAGGAUGGCAUGCAAAUUUAUGAAGCAGUAUGUAUUUUU
This is a small nuclear RNA of Cynocephalus volans (Philippine flying lemur), 104 nucleotides long. The record is from RefSeq and is a predicted model, not a curated record. Lineage: Eukaryota; Metazoa; Chordata; Mammalia; Dermoptera; Cynocephalidae.